This 301-nucleotide ribosomal RNA is filed under the name uncultured bacterium. RNAcentral describes it as "partial 16S ribosomal RNA". It matches the Rfam family "Bacterial small subunit ribosomal RNA", at positions 509 to 809 of the family's 1533-position model. The record is from RNAcentral.
CAGUAGCCGCGGGAAUACGUAGGUGGCAAGCGUUGUCCGGAAUUAUUGGGCGUAAAGCGCGCGCAGGCGGAUAGGUCAGUCUGUCUUAAAAGUUCGGGGCUUAACCCCGUGAUGGGAUGGAAACUGCCAAUCUAGAGUAUCGGAGAGGAAAGUGGAAUUCCUAGUGUAGCGGUGAAAUGCGUAGAUAUUAGGAAGAACACCAGUGGCGAAGGCGACUUUCUGGACGAAAACUGUCGCUGAGGCGCGGAAGCCAGGGGAGCGAACGGGAUUAGAUACCCCCGUAGUCCCUGUCUCUUAUACA